GAUCCUGGCUCAGGAUGAACGCUAGCGGCAGGCUUAACACAUGCAAGUCGAGGGGCAGCAUAAUGGAUAGCAAUAUCUAUGGUGGCGACCGGCGCACGGGUGCGUAACGCGUAUGCAACCUACCUUUAACAGGGGGAGUAACACUGAGAAAUUAGGUACUAAUACCCACUAAUAUCAUAGAAGGACGAUCUUUAUUGUUGUAAGUAACGUACUAGUAGUAGAG
This 223-nucleotide ribosomal RNA is filed under the name uncultured bacterium. Its description in RNAcentral is "partial 16S ribosomal RNA". It matches the Rfam family "Bacterial small subunit ribosomal RNA", at positions 15 to 226 of the family's 1533-position model. The record is from RNAcentral.